This 265-nucleotide ribosomal RNA is filed under the name uncultured archaeon. RNAcentral describes it as "partial 16S ribosomal RNA". It matches the Rfam family "Archaeal small subunit ribosomal RNA", at positions 718 to 982 of the family's 1478-position model. The record is from RNAcentral.
AGUCACUGACAUUAGAUACCCCGGUAGUCCCAGCCGUAAACAAUGUGCGUUAGGUGUGUCGGUAACCACGUGUUACUGAUGCGCCGAAGAGAAAUCGUGAAACGCACCACCUGGGAAGUACGGUCGCAAGGCUGGAACUUAAAGGAAUUGGCGGGGGAGCACCACGACAGGUGGAGCCUGCGGUUUAAUUGGAUUCAACGCCGGACAUCUCACCGGAUAAGACAGCUGAAUGAUUGUCAAUCUGAAGGUUUUACAUGACUAGCUG